This 253-nucleotide unclassified non-coding RNA is filed under the name uncultured Alphaproteobacteria bacterium. RNAcentral's name for it is "contains 16S-23S intergenic spacer region". It matches the Rfam family "Bacterial small subunit ribosomal RNA", at positions 524 to 776 of the family's 1533-position model. Lineage: Bacteria; Pseudomonadati; Pseudomonadota; Alphaproteobacteria. The record is from RNAcentral.
UACUGCUGUGGGUAGCGUUGUUCGGAAUUACUGGGCGUAAAGCGCACGUAGGCGGAUUGGUCAGUUAGGGGUGAAAUCCCGGAGCUCAACUCCGGAACUGCCUUUAAUACUGCCAGUCUAGAGACCGAGAGAGGUAAGUGGAACUCCUAGUGUAGAGGUGGAAUUCGCAGAUAUUAGGAAGAACACCAGUGGCGAAGGCGGCUUACUGGCUCGGAACUGACGCUGAGGUGCGAAAGCGUGGGGAGCAAACAGG